This 253-nucleotide ribosomal RNA is filed under the name uncultured bacterium. Its description in RNAcentral is "partial 16S ribosomal RNA". It matches the Rfam family "Bacterial small subunit ribosomal RNA", at positions 524 to 776 of the family's 1533-position model. The record is from RNAcentral.
UACGUAGGGGGCAAGCGUUGUCCGGAUUUAUUGGGCGUAAAGAGCGUGUAGGCGGUUUGGUAGGUCCGCUGUGAAAACUCGAGGCUCAACCUCGAGACGCCGGUGGAAACCAUCAGGCUAAAGUCCGGAAGAGGAGAGUGGAAUUCCUGGUGUAGCGGUGAAAUGCGCAGAUAUCAGGAAGAACACCCGUGGCUAAGGCGGCUCUCUAGUACGGUACUGACGCUGAGACGCGAAAGCGUGGGGAGCGAACAGG